CCAAACUAUAUGGAUAUUUUAGGUAUAUUAAUGUGGCAAAACUAGGGCUUUUCACCGUACUAUAAAAUGGGGAAGGGAAGCCGAAACCUAGGCAACUCACUGCUUGAUCUUAUCUGAGCAGAGAACUCAGGGCUCCCUUCUCUCUGAGCCACCCUGCGCCUUAGAGCGUUGCUGGAGGCUCUGCUUUAGGGCAAAAAGAGAGUGGGUUUUUAGCCUUUCUGUUUUCUGCAGUGAAGACUGCCCGCAGUCAGAGCCCUCAAUGUCAAAUACUGACCAUUGCUUGGGCUGUGAUGGCCUUCGCGGGCUAAAUCCCAAGUUC
Molecule: long non-coding RNA, 319 nt
Filed under: Theobroma cacao (cacao)
Lineage: Eukaryota; Viridiplantae; Streptophyta; Magnoliopsida; Malvales; Malvaceae
Description: long non-coding RNA (TCAC_LNC003561)
Source: RNAcentral